GCCUAUUUUAAUUUAGGGCUAACCCGUCUCUGUGGCAAAAGAGUGGGAAGAGCUCCGGGUAGAAGUGACAGACCUACCGAACCUGGUGAUAGCUGGUUGCCUGAGAAGUGGAUAGAAGUUCAGCCUCGUACACCCCAAAUCAAAUAAAUACAACAUUAAGACAACUAAGGGAAAUAUACGAGAGUUAGUUAAAGGGGGUACAGCCCCUCUAACAAAGGAUACAACCUUUACAGGAGGAUAAAGAUCAUAAUAUAUAAAACAUACUGUUUUAGUGGGCCUAAAGGCAGCCAUCUAAAUAGAAAGCGUUAAAGCUCAGACAGAGAGAAGUUUAUUAUACUGAUAAAAAAAUCUUAUUCCCCUAGCAAUAUCAGGCUAACCCAUGCCUACAUGGAAGAAAUUAUGCUAAAAUGAGUAACAAGAAGACCUGCUCUUCUCCAAGCACAAGUGUAAACCAGAUCGGACAAACCGCUGGAAAUUAACGAACCCAACCCAAGAGAGUAAUGUGAACAACAAAAAAACCAAGAAAAACCCACAACCAAACAAUCGUUAACCCCACACUGGAGUGCCAUUUUUAAAGGAAAGACUAAAAGAAAGGGAAGGAACUCGGCAAACACAAGCCUCGCCUGUUUACCAAAAACAUCGCCUCCUGCAACUAAACUGAGUAUAGGAGGUCCAGCCUGCCCAGUGACUACGGGUUCAACGGCCGCGGUAUUUUGACCGUGCAAAGGUAGCGCAAUCACUUGUCUUUUAAAUAGAGACCUGUAUGAAUGGCCAAACGAGGGCUUAACUGUCUCCCCCUUCAAGUCAGUGAAAUUGAUCUAUCCGUGCAGAAGCGGGUAUAACCAUACAAGACGAGAAGACCCUUUGGAGCUUAAGGUACAAAAUUCAACCACGUCAAGCAACUUAAUAAAAAGCAAGAACUUAGUGGAAAAUGAAGUUUUACCUUCGGUUGGGGCGACCACGGAGGAAAAACAAGCCUCCGAGUGGAAUGGGCCAAAUCCCUAAAACCAAGAGAAACAUCUCUAAGCCACAGAACAUCUGACCAAAAAUGAUCCGGCUACUAAAGCCGAUCAACGAACCAAGUUACCCUAGGGAUAACAGCGCAAUCCUCUCCCAGAGUCCAUAUCGACGAGGGGGUUUACGACCUCGAUGUUGGAUCAGGACAUCCUAAUGGUGCAGCCGCUAUUAAGGGUUCGUUUGUUCAACGAUUAAAGUCCUACGUGAUCUGAGUUCA
Molecule: ribosomal RNA, 1234 nt
Filed under: Squaliobarbus curriculus (barbel chub)
Lineage: Eukaryota; Metazoa; Chordata; Actinopteri; Cypriniformes; Xenocyprididae
Also listed under: 2 other names
Description: partial 16S ribosomal RNA
Rfam family: Bacterial large subunit ribosomal RNA
Source: RNAcentral